RNAcentral lists this ribosomal RNA (497 nucleotides) under uncultured bacterium. RNAcentral's name for it is "partial 16S ribosomal RNA". It matches the Rfam family "Bacterial small subunit ribosomal RNA", at positions 28 to 507 of the family's 1533-position model. The record is from RNAcentral.
GAUGAACGCUGGCGGCGUGCCUAAUACAUGCAAGUCGAGCGAACGGACGAGAAGCUUGCUUCUCUGAUGUUAGCGGCGGACGGGUGAGUAACACGUGGAUAACCUACCUAUAAGACUGGGAUAACUUCGGGAAACCGGAGCUAAUAACGGAUAAUAUUUUGAACCGCAUGGUUCAAAAGUGAAAGACGGUAUUGCUGUCACUUAUAGAUGGAUCCGCGCUGCAUUAGCUAGUUGGUAAGGUAACGGCUUACCAAGGCAACGAUGCAUAGCCGACCUGAGAGGGUUAUCGGCCACACUGGAACUGAGACACGUUCCAAACUCCUACGGGAGGCGGCAGUAGGGAAUCUUCCGCAAUGGGGGAAAGCCUGACGGAGCAACGCCGCGUGAGUGAUGAAGGUCUUCGGAUCGUAAAACUCUGUUAUUAGGGAGGAACAUAUGUGUAAGUAACUGUGCACAUCUUGACGGUACCUAAUCAGAAAGCCACGGCUAACUACGUG